AUGACCUUGGGCAAGGCCCAAGUCAUCGGGCUCUGGAAUGUGGGAUCUCUUGAUGGAAAAGAAAUGUGGAGACAAAGUGAACUCAUCAUUGUGAGCCAUGCCUCGCAGAUGAGGAAUUCCAGAGCCUGGACCUUGGCCGCUGCCACAGAGUCCUUGGGGAGCUGUUGGAGAGAGAGCAGCAAAAAAGGUGGAGACUCAGACUGGAGGGAAGAGGAAGCUGUGAACUGCCUUUGACUGAAAGAGAUUCUUUUGAACUCUGGGUAUCCUGUUUAUUUUUUUCACUCUUGGAUUCAUUUCCCUUUCCUUGGAAUAUUGGAGAAUGUUUUCAUCAUCUGCAAACACUGACCAAGAUUAGGCACGUUUGUGCUGGAAAGGGCACUGUUUUGUCUGCGAUCAGAGCACGGAUUCCCACUCCGUCAUGAUGCUGUGACUGUCAGCACGUCUUCACCUUCUAGCUCCACCUCCUUACCUAUAAAAUGGGAUUAAGAAAUUAUUAUCCGCGUCAAGGCUGGGACUGCAGCCAUGGUCCUCAAAGUUUGCAUCUAGUGGUACACCUCUCAGCACUUUCCCACUAACCCCAAUCAAAUAAGAACAAAUCCAGACUAAGAUAUGGAGAGAUUUUAUUUGAAAAGGCUAUUGCAAUGGGGAGAACAUUCUGAACAGAAGAUCUGCAAGAGUCUCAAAAGUUUCUGCAGACUGGUGCAGUCAGGAAAGGCUGUUCUGUAUUCUGACCUGAGGGUCAGAGUCCAGAGGCUAUAGGUAGGAGAGAAGCCUGACUAAAGUUUGGUUGAGUCACAUUAGUAAUUUUUUCAUCCAGAUCGGUUGGUGGGGACAGACAAUUCAGCUAAUCAUCUGAUGAGACAAGGAAGGGGAAGUUGGAGAGUCUGUGUCUGCUCUUGUCUUAGGCAAACAGACGGGCAUCCAUGGGUCAUAUCUAAGUCACAUAAACUGUGGUUCUUUGCAGAAAGCCAUUUUGAAGCACAAAAGUGUAGGGGGAUUUCUUGACUACUGUUUCCUAGGAACAUAGGGCUCAGGUAAAUUUCAACAUUAUCAUCUGCUGAUGGAUGAGUGGAUAACCAACACAUGAUUAAUAGAAUCAUUUAAUAGAAUAUUUAGGACAUUGUGCUAAGUAAAAUAAGCCAGUGGCAAAAAGAUAAAUACUGUAUGAGUCCACUUACAUGAGGUAUCUAGACUAGUCAAAAUCAUAGAAAUGGAAAGUAGCACAAUGGUUACCAGAGGGAAGAGAGGAAGAGUGGGAAGUUGUUUUCAAAUGGGUAUAAAGAUUCAAGAAUGCAAGACAAAAAAAGUUGUGGAGACUGGUUGUACAACAGUGGGUAUGCACUUAAUAAAACUGAACUGUACUCCUAAAGAUGAAUAAGAUGGUAUAUGUAAUGAUGUGUGCCUUUUACUAGAA
RNAcentral lists this long non-coding RNA (1414 nucleotides) under Canis lupus familiaris (dog). Its description in RNAcentral is "lncRNA (ENSCAFG00000057286.1)". The record is from RNAcentral. Lineage: Eukaryota; Metazoa; Chordata; Mammalia; Carnivora; Canidae.